AACGAACGCUGGCGGCAUGCCUAACACAUGCAAGUCGAACGAGACCUUCGGGUCUAGUGGCGCACGGGUGCGUAACGCGUGGGAACCUGCCCUUAGGUUCGGAAUAACUCUCCGAAAGGGGUGCUAAUACCGGAUAAUGUCUUCGGCCCAAAGAUUUAUCGCCUUUGGAUGGGCCCGCGUUGGAUUAGCUAGUUGGUAGGGUAAAAGCCUACCAAGGCGACGAUCCAUAGCUGGUCUGAGAGGAAGAUCAGCCACACUGGGACUGAGACACGGCCCAGACUCCUACGGGAGGCAGCAGUGGGGAAUAGUGGACAAUGGGCGAAAGCCUGAUCCAGCAAUGCCGGGUGAGUGAUGAAGGCCUUAGGGUUGUAAAGCUCUUUUACCCGGGAUGAUAAUGACAGUACCGGGAGAAUAAGCUCCGGCUAACUCCGUG
RNAcentral lists this ribosomal RNA (433 nucleotides) under uncultured bacterium. RNAcentral's name for it is "partial 16S ribosomal RNA". It matches the Rfam family "Bacterial small subunit ribosomal RNA", at positions 29 to 507 of the family's 1533-position model. The record is from RNAcentral.